RNAcentral lists this transfer RNA (86 nucleotides) under Alphaproteobacteria bacterium. RNAcentral's name for it is "tRNA-Leu". It matches the Rfam family "tRNA". Rfam says of the family: Transfer RNA (tRNA) molecules are approximately 80 nucleotides in length. Lineage: Bacteria; Pseudomonadati; Pseudomonadota; Alphaproteobacteria. The record is from RNAcentral. RNAcentral also lists the same sequence under 1 other name.
GCCCCACUGGCGGAACGGUAGACGCGGCAGACUCAAAAUCUGUUGUUCGCAAGAACGUGCUGGUUCAAGUCCGGCGUGGGGCACCA